GAUGAACGCUGGCGGCGUGCCUAAUACAUGCAAGUCGAGCGACCAGACGAUGAGCUUGCUCCUCUGACGUUAGCGGCUGACGGGUGGGUAACACAUGGAUCACAUACCUCUAAUUCUGGGAUAACUUCGGGAAACCGGUGCUAAUAAUGGAUAAUAUAUUGAACCGCAUGAUUCAAUAGUGAAAGACGGUUUUGCUGUCACUUAUAGCUGGAUCCGCGCCGCAUUAGCUAGUUGGUAAGGUAACGGCUUACCAAGGCUACGAUGCGUAGCCGACCUGAGAGGGUGAUCGGCCACACUGGAACUGAGACACGGUCCAGACUCCUACGGGAGGCAGCAGUAGGGAAUCUUCCGCAAUGGGCGAAAGCUUGACGGAGCAACGCCGCGUGAGUGAUGAAGGUCUUCGGAUCGUAAAACUCUGUUAUUAGGGAAGAACAAAUGUGUAAGUAACUAUGCACGUCUUGACGGUACCUAAUCAGAAAGCCACGGCUAACUACGUG
RNAcentral lists this ribosomal RNA (497 nucleotides) under uncultured bacterium. RNAcentral describes it as "partial 16S ribosomal RNA". It matches the Rfam family "Bacterial small subunit ribosomal RNA", at positions 28 to 507 of the family's 1533-position model. The record is from RNAcentral.